This 470-nucleotide ribosomal RNA is filed under the name uncultured bacterium. Its description in RNAcentral is "partial 16S ribosomal RNA". It matches the Rfam family "Bacterial small subunit ribosomal RNA", at positions 28 to 507 of the family's 1533-position model. The record is from RNAcentral.
GACGAACGCUGGCGGCGUGCUUAACACAUGCAAGUCGAACGGUUAACGCGGGGGCUUGCUCCCUCCGGAUCAGUGGCGAACGUGUGAGUAACACGUGAGCCAUCUGCCCCGCACUCUGGUAUAAUCGUUGGAAACGACGUCUAAUACCGGAUACGCCGCGGGUGGGCAUCCUCUCCUCGUGGAAAGCACUGCGGUUCGGUAUGAGCUCGCGGCCUAUCAGCUUGUUUGUGGGGUAACGGCUCACCAAGGCGACGACGGGUAGCCGGCCUGAGAGGGUGACCGGCCACACUGGGACUGAGACACGGCCCAGACUCCUACGGGAGGCAGCAGUGGGGAAUAUUGCACAAUGGGCGGAAGCCUGAUGCAGCAACGCCGCGUGAGGGACGACGGCCUUCGGGUUGUAAACCUCUUUUAGCAGGGAAGAAGCGAAAGUGACGGUACCUGCAGAAAAAGCACCGGCUAACUACGUG